Molecule: ribosomal RNA, 274 nt
Filed under: uncultured bacterium
Lineage: Bacteria
Description: partial 16S ribosomal RNA
Rfam family: Bacterial small subunit ribosomal RNA
Source: RNAcentral
AUACGGAGGGUGCAAGCGUUACUUGGAAUCACUGGGCGUAAAGCGCGCGCAGGCGGUCUUUUAAGUUGGAUGUGAAAGCCUACGGCUCAACCGUAGAACUGCAUCCAAAACUAUUAGACUAGAGUGUGGGAGAGGAAGAUGGAAUUAGUUGUGUAGGGGUAAAAUCCGUAGAGAUAACUAGGAAUACCAAAAGCGAAGGCAAUCUUCUGGAACACUACUGACGCUGAGGCGCGAAAGCGUGGGGAGCAAACGGGAGUAGAUACCCUAGUAGUCC